This 820-nucleotide ribosomal RNA is filed under the name Kocuria sp. DEM11. RNAcentral describes it as "bacterial SSU rRNA". It matches the Rfam family "Bacterial small subunit ribosomal RNA", at positions 103 to 933 of the family's 1533-position model. Lineage: Bacteria; Bacillati; Actinomycetota; Actinomycetes; Micrococcales; Micrococcaceae. The record is from RNAcentral.
CGGGUGAGUAAUACGUGAGUAACCUGCCCUUGACUCUGGGAUAAGCCCGGGAAACUGGGUCUAAUACUGGAUGCUACAUGUCACCGCAUGGUGGUGUGUGGAAAGGGUUUACUGGUCUUGGAUGGGCUCACGGCCUAUCAGCUUGUUGGUGAGGUAAUGGCUCACCAAGGCGACGACGGGUAGCCGGCCUGAGAGGGUGACCGGCCACACUGGGACUGAGACACGGCCCAGACUCCUACGGGAGGCAGCAGUGGGGAAUAUUGCACAAUGGGCGAAAGCCUGAUGCAGCGACGCCGCGUGAGGGAUGACGGCCUUCGGGUUGUAAACCUCUUUCAGCAGGGAAGAAGCCACAAGUGACGGUACCUGCAGAAGAAGCGCCGGCUAACUACGUGCCAGCAGCCGCGGUAAUACGUAGGGCGCAAGCGUUGUCCGGAAUUAUUGGGCGUAAAGAGCUCGUAGGCGGUUUGUCGCGUCUGCUGUGAAAGCCCGGGGCUUAACCCCGGGUGUGCAGUGGGUACGGGCAGACUAGAGUGCAGUAGGGGAGACUGGAAUUCCUGGUGUAGCGGUGGAAUGCGCAGAUAUCAGGAGGAACACCGAUGGCGAAGGCAGGUCUCUGGGCUGUUACUGACGCUGAGGAGCGAAAGCAUGGGGAGCGAACAGGAUUAGAUACCCUGGUAGUCCAUGCCGUAAACGUUGGGCACUAGGUGUGGGGGACAUUCCACGUUUUCCGCGCCGUAGCUAACGCAUUAAGUGCCCCGCCUGGGGAGUACGGCCGCAAGGCUAAAACUCAAAGGAAUUGACGGGGGCCCGCACAAGCGGC